Molecule: long non-coding RNA, 720 nt
Filed under: Nicotiana benthamiana
Lineage: Eukaryota; Viridiplantae; Streptophyta; Magnoliopsida; Solanales; Solanaceae
Description: long non-coding RNA (NBEN_LNC035711)
Source: RNAcentral
UUUAGACUAGACUUCUAAUACAGUUAGACUUCUAACAGCAUCUUUAGUAGAUAAUUUUACUGAUUCUAAUAUUUGUUAGUUAAUUAGUUAAAAACAAAAAUCUUAGUUUUUUAACUUAGAACUUGAUCAAGCUUGUCUUCUUAGUGGUACUGAACAGUUAUAGCUAAGCCUCAGUUCUCUGUGAGAUUCGACUCUGGACUCUUAGAUCGGAUUAUAAUUUGCACAAACCGCUUAUCUUUUUUAGUACUAGAGUUUGGCGUAAUCAUAAUGUAUAAGAAUAUUUCUGUUCAACUUCCUCAAUUUACGAACUCUCAUGGCAUGAUCCAUCAGAAAUCUUUUCCGUACACCUCAUAACUAAGGUGGUAGAGAGGAAACAUAGAUUCACAUGGCUUCCUCAACCAUCCAACAUAAGGUUCUACAAACCAUUUUAUUUAUGCAUCUACUUCUAUAUUUCAUUUCUCCUUUUUUGGGAAACAUAUGCUUUUAAAACGUAAUCCCUAAAAAAGAUAAAAUAACUCCUUGUGCUAUCUAAAACUUCUACUACAUCGAUACCACACCACUCUUUAUCGAUGCAAGCACCUAAUCAGAUCCAACCCUGAACUACGUCCAACAGGUGCUAUGGAAUGUCCCUUCCAUGUAGUCGUUCAUUGUUGUUCAUUCACAAUGGUUUAAAAGCAAAAAGAGCAAAAAGCAACAAGGCCUAUUGGGUUCAAGCGAAUA